CGUCGAUAUUCAUUGAGAACUGAAUUUGCCAGGAUUGGUGAAGAAAACUCCAACCAAAUCAACACUUCAAUCAAACGUAUGUUCUGAUCGCUGCACCAAUAACCCGAUUCACCCGUUCGGUCGGAUUAUUUGCUGGAGGGUAAUUGGAAUUUUGCCAGUGGUUAACCAUCUUCAAGAAAGUAGCAAAAAGGUUGGAUUUGAACUGUGGGCCGCUCCGGAACCCCAAACAACAGGAACUUAGAGAAGUGAUCGGUGACGACUAGCAGCAUCGUG
Long non-coding RNA from Ochlerotatus camptorhynchus, 273 nucleotides. RefSeq lists it as uncharacterized. The transcript has 3 exons. The record is from RefSeq and is a predicted model, not a curated record. NCBI's taxonomy places the organism in Eukaryota, Metazoa, Arthropoda, Insecta, Diptera, Culicidae.